UGGCCAGUCCUCUUCCCGAGCCAGCCUUACAUUCGUUUUACGUUGAAGUCUAUUUGCACAAAGCCCAAUUUUUUUUUUCCUCUGAAUAUUUAAUAUUAAGGAUCAAAGCUCAUCCGAAAACAUUACAAUAAGAAGCCCAAACAUCCGGCCCAACUAGAAAAAACCACAUACGGGUCUAAAGUCCAAACCCCACAGCCCAGAAGCUGGAAACCCUAGUCUCCCCAAGCUAACCGACGUCAACGGCGUCGCACACCACCAGAUCGAGACUGUGCGACCUUCACCGCUCGAGAACCUUCAUCGGAGAGCAUCCAUCGAUCUAACACAUCGAGAUCUCGUCUGAAACCCAAGCCAAACGGUUCACCACACACCAACACAGAUCUAUGAUAUCACUCGAACAAAUAAACGCCUACAAUCAAUCCAUUACCUCCGACAUCCAUGCAGCGGUUUCAGAUGAUAGAUCAAGAGGCAGAGAAGCUUUGAAGUGCAGACUCAUAGAUCGAGAAGAAAAGGAAUAAAAACCGGGAGCCAAAGAAACAAAACCGGAGAAGGCGAUACUAAAGGAGCU
Molecule: long non-coding RNA, 565 nt
Filed under: Brassica napus (rape)
Lineage: Eukaryota; Viridiplantae; Streptophyta; Magnoliopsida; Brassicales; Brassicaceae
Description: long non-coding RNA (BNAP_LNC019627)
Source: RNAcentral